This is a ribosomal RNA of 1316 nucleotides. It matches the Rfam family "Eukaryotic large subunit ribosomal RNA", at positions 143 to 1099 of the family's 3401-position model.
UUGUAAUCUGUAGAAGGUGCCUCGGGCGUACGACACCGGUGCAAGUUCCUUGGAACAGGGCGUCAUAGAGGGUGAGAAUCCCGUACGCUGCCGGUAGUUAAGCCUAUGUGAGGCCCUUUCGACGAGUCGAGUUGUUUGGGAAUGCAGCUCUAAAUGGGUGGUAAAUUUCAUCUAAAGCUAAAUACCGGCCAGAGACCGAUAGCGCACAAGUAGAGUGAUCGAAAGAUGAAAAGCACUUUGAAAAGAGAGUUAAACAGUACGUGAAAUUGUUGAAAGGGAAGCGCCUGCAACCAGACUCGCGCGCGGGUGUUCAAUCGCCCUUCGGGGCGGUGCGCUCUCCCGCGCCCGGGCCAGCAUCGGUUUGGGCGGCCGGAUAAAGGUCUCGGGAAUGUGAUUCUCUUCGAGGAAUGUUAUAGCCCGGGGCGUAAUGCGGCCUGCCUGGACCGAGGACCGCGCUUUUGCUAGGAUGCUGGCGUAAUGGUUGCCGGCGACCCGUCUUGAAACACGGACCAGUAAGCUUAAUCAUCCUCUUACCCUUUUCUUAACUAAUUUCUUUUAACAGAGGAGUCGACCAACUGCGCGAGUGUUUGGGUGUUAAACCCAUACGCGCAAUAAAAGUGAAUAUGGUAUGAGCUUCGGCGCAAUAUCGACCGAUCUUGAAAUUUAUGGAUGGAUUUGAGUAUGAGCGAAGUUGGUUGGACCCGAAAGGCAAGAACCCCCCCGCUGACUAUUCCCCCAAAACGAUAUUCUAACAUUUUUUUUAGAUGGUGAGCUAUGCGCGAAUAGGGUGAAGCCAGAGGAAACUCUGGUGGAGGCUCGCAGCGGUUCUGACGUGCAAAUCGAUCGUCAAAUUUGCGUAUAGGGGCGAAAGGUACGUGUUGCCCUGCCACAGCGUCAACUUUUUUUUAAAUGCAUAGGCACUAACUUUUUACAGACUAAUCGAACCAUCGAACUAGAAGGUUAUUGGGUGGUUAAUGUCGAGUCUCCGGUGCUUUUUCGCCCGGGGGCAACAUCGCUAUUCGCAUGGAUUCUUUUUCGAAGGAAAACAUGUACCGGAUUCCACCCAGGUGGAUUUCGAUCACAGACCAGAUGGCGGUGGCCCGCAGGUCGGGUUCUAACAUGGUCGAGCCCCUCCCCUCCAAAGGGGAGUUCUGGAACAGCGCUAGUAGCUGGUUCCUGUCGAAGUUUCCCUCAGGAUAGCAGCAACGAAAUCAGUCUCAUGAGGUAGAGCGAACGAUUAGAGGCCUUGGGGCUGAAACAGCCUUAACCUAUUCUCGAACUUCGAAUAUGUGAGAAGUCCUUGUUACUUAGUUGAA